This 243-nucleotide ribosomal RNA is filed under the name uncultured bacterium. RNAcentral's name for it is "partial 16S ribosomal RNA". It matches the Rfam family "Bacterial small subunit ribosomal RNA", at positions 93 to 334 of the family's 1533-position model. The record is from RNAcentral.
CCCGGGCGCACGGGUGAGUAACGCGUAUGCAACUUACCUAUCAGAGGGGGAUAACCCGGCGAAAGUCGGACUAAUACCGCAUGAAGCAGGGGCCCCGCAUGGGGAGUAUUUGCUAAAGAUUCAUCGCUGAUAGAUAGGCAUGCGUUCCAUUAGGCAGUUGGCGGGGUAACGGCCCACCAAACCGACGAUGGAUAGGGGUUCUGAGAGGAAGGUCCCCCACAUUGGCACUGAGACACGGACCAA